UACGUAGGGCGCAAGCGUUGUCCGGAAUUAUUGGGCGUAAAGAGCUCGUAGGCGGUUUGUCACGUCGGCUGUGAAAACCCGAGGCUCAACCUCGGGCCUGCAGUCGAUACGGGCAGACUAGAGUGCUGUAGGGGAGACUGGAAUUCCUGGUGUAGCGGUGAAAUGCGCAGAUAUCAGGAGGAACACCGGUGGCGAAGGCGGGUCUCUGGGCAGUAACUGACGCUGAGGCGCGAAAGCUUGGGUAGCAAACGGG
RNAcentral lists this ribosomal RNA (253 nucleotides) under uncultured bacterium. RNAcentral describes it as "partial 16S ribosomal RNA". It matches the Rfam family "Bacterial small subunit ribosomal RNA", at positions 524 to 776 of the family's 1533-position model. The record is from RNAcentral.